Caenorhabditis elegans is the source of this 73-nucleotide non-coding RNA. NCBI's taxonomy places the organism in Eukaryota, Metazoa, Nematoda, Chromadorea, Rhabditida, Rhabditidae. The record is from the annotation of a RefSeq genome assembly.
GCUGCGGUAGUUCAGUUGGGUAGAAGUUUGACUAUGGCUCCAAGGGUCACAAGUUCAAUCCCCGCUUGACCCA